GAUGAAGAACGUAGCAAACUGCGAUAAGUAGUGUGAAUUGCAUUCAGUGAAUCAUCGAAUCUUUGAACGCACAUUGCGCCCGCCAGUAUUCUGGCGGGCAUGCCUGUUCGAGCGUCAUUACAACCCUCAGGCCCCCGGGCCUGGCGUUGGGGAUCGGCGGAAGCCCCCUGCGGGCACAACGCCGUCCCCCAAAUACAGUGGCGGUCCCGCCGCAGCUUCCAUUGCGUAGUAGCUAACACCUCGCAACUGGAGAGCGGCGCGGCCACGCCGUAAAACACCCAACUUCUGAAUGUUGACCUCGAAUCAGGUAGGAAUACCCGCUGAACUUAAGCAUAUCAAUAAGCGGAGGA
RNAcentral lists this unclassified non-coding RNA (350 nucleotides) under soil metagenome. RNAcentral's name for it is "partial contains 5.8S ribosomal RNA, internal transcribed spacer 2, and large subunit ribosomal RNA". The stretch from base 1 to 117 matches the Rfam family "5.8S ribosomal RNA", at positions 35 to 154 of the family's 154-position model. The record is from RNAcentral.